This 433-nucleotide ribosomal RNA is filed under the name uncultured bacterium. RNAcentral's name for it is "partial 16S ribosomal RNA". It matches the Rfam family "Bacterial small subunit ribosomal RNA", at positions 29 to 507 of the family's 1533-position model. The record is from RNAcentral.
AGCGAACGCUGGCGGCAGGCUUAACACAUGCAAGUCGAGCGGGCCCUUCGGGGUCAGCGGCCGACGGGUGAGUAACACGUGGGAACGUACCCUUUGGUUCGGAAUAACGCUGGGAAACUAGCGCUAAUACCGGAUACGCCCUUUUGGGGAAAGGCUUGCUGACGGAGGAUCGGCCGGCGUCUGAUUAGCUAGUUGGGGGUGUAAUGGCCUACCACGGCGACGAUCAGUAGCUGGGUAGAGAGGAAGAGCAGACACACUGGGACUGAGACACGGCCCAGAAUCCUACGGGAGGCAGCAGUGGGGAAUAUUGGAAAAUGGGCGCAAGGCUGAUCCAGCCAGGCCGCGUGAGUGAUGAAGGCCGUAGGGUUGUAAAGCUCUUUUGUCCGGGACGAUAAUGACGGUACCGGAAGAAUAAGCCCCGGCUAACUUCGUG